This 428-nucleotide ribosomal RNA is filed under the name uncultured prokaryote. RNAcentral describes it as "bacterial SSU rRNA". It matches the Rfam family "Bacterial small subunit ribosomal RNA", at positions 355 to 776 of the family's 1533-position model. The record is from RNAcentral. RNAcentral also lists the same sequence under 1 other name.
UGGGGAAUUUUCGGCAAUGGGGGAAACCCUGACCGAGCAAUGCCGCGUGAAUGAUGAAGUAUUUCGGUAUGUAAAAUUCUUUUAUAGAGGACGAACGUUAUGUGGAGGAAAUGCCAUAUAAGUGACGGUACUUUAUGAAUAAGCCCCGGCUAACUAUGUGCCAGCAGCCGCGGUAAUACAUAGGGGGCAAGCGUUAUCCGGAAUUAUUGGGCGUAAAGGGUGCGUAGGCGGCAUAUUAAGUCUGAGGUGAAAGUGCGGGGCUCAACCCCGUGAUGCCUUGGAAACUGGUAAGCUAGAGUGUGGUAGAGGCAAGUGGAACUCCAUGUGUAGCGGUAAAAUGCGUAAAUAUAUGGAAGAACACCAGUGGCGAAGGCGGCUUGCUAGGCCAUUACUGACGCUGAGGCACGAAAGCGUGGGGAGCAAACAGG